RNAcentral lists this ribosomal RNA (497 nucleotides) under uncultured bacterium. RNAcentral's name for it is "partial 16S ribosomal RNA". It matches the Rfam family "Bacterial small subunit ribosomal RNA", at positions 28 to 507 of the family's 1533-position model. The record is from RNAcentral.
GAUGAACGCUGGCGGCGUGCCUAAUACAUGCAAGUCGAGCGAACAGACGAGGAGCUUGCUCCUCUGACGUUAGCGGCGGACGGGAGAGUAACACGUGGAUGACCUAACUAUAAGACUGGGAUAACUUCGGGAAACCGGAGCUAAUACCGGAUAAUAUAUUGAACCGCAUGGUUCACUAGUGAAAGACGGUUUUGCGUUCACUUAUAGAUGGAUCCGCGCCUCAUUAGCUAGUUGGUAAGGUAAUGGCUUAGCCAGGCAACGAUGCGUAGCCGACCUGAGAGGGUGAUCGGCCACACUGGAACUGAGACACAGUCGAGACUCCUACGCGAGGCAGCAGUAGGGAAUCUUCCGCAAUGGGCGAAAGCCUGACGGAGCAACGCCGCGUGAGUGAUGAAGGUCUUAGGAUCGUAAAACUCUGUUAUUAGGGAAGAACAAAUGUGUUAGUAACUAUGCACGUCUUGACGGUACCUAAACAGAAAGCCACGGCUAACUACGUG